GGGGGCGACUGGCUUCGACGGAGUCGCUGAAGGGAGGUUUGCCCGCCGAGGUCCCCAUCACACCUCGUUAAACCGUUGGGAACCAAAAGAAACGCAGACGACUAUUCGUAUGCGAUGGCUGCCUAACAUCUGUUAGGGCAAGCCCGACAGUCCGUCGGCCCGCCUUCGGCGGACGGCUGAUCGUCGAGAAUGAAGGCUAGUCGGAGGUAGCGCCCGAGGAUCUCCGGCAAAACUAAAUCGGGAUAGUCGUGACGGCAGCCUGUCGUUCGGCGGCCGACACGGCGAAUAAAAAAAGAUCGACUAUGCGGGUAGACGGCCUCUUAUAGGCACUUUCGGACGGGGGUUCGAUUCCCCCCGCCUCCACCA
RNAcentral lists this transfer-messenger RNA (366 nucleotides) under bacterium. RNAcentral describes it as "WJJR01 sp014729565 Standard tmRNA". It matches the Rfam family "transfer-messenger RNA". Rfam says of the family: Bacterial tmRNA, also known as 10Sa RNA or SsrA, is named for its dual tRNA and mRNA-like properties. The record is from RNAcentral. RNAcentral also lists the same sequence under 1 other name.